This 140-nucleotide ribosomal RNA is filed under the name Deltaproteobacteria bacterium. RNAcentral describes it as "partial 16S ribosomal RNA". It matches the Rfam family "Bacterial small subunit ribosomal RNA", at positions 1 to 140 of the family's 1533-position model. Lineage: Bacteria; Pseudomonadati; Myxococcota; Myxococcia. The record is from RNAcentral.
UAACUGGCGAGUUUGAUCCUGGCUCAGAGUGAACGCUGGCGGCGUGCCUAACACAUGCAAGUCGAGCGAGAAAGGGGCUUCGGCCCUGAGUACAGCGGCAGACGGGUGAGGAACACGUGGGUAACCCACCCAGGGGCGGG